UACGUAGGGGGCAAGCGUUGUCCGGAAUCAUUGGGCGUAAAGAGCGUGUAGGCGGCCCGGUAAGUCCGCUGUGAAAGUCGGGGGCUCAACCCUCGAAUGCCGGUGGAUACUGUCGGGCUAGAGUGCGGAAGAGGCGAGUGGAAUUCCUGGUGUAGCGGUGAAAUGCGCAGAUAUCAGGAGGAACACCGGUGGCGAAGGCGGAUCUCUGGGCCUUACCUGACGCUCAGGCGCGAAAGCUAGGGGAGCGAACAGG
This 253-nucleotide ribosomal RNA is filed under the name uncultured bacterium. RNAcentral's name for it is "partial 16S ribosomal RNA". It matches the Rfam family "Bacterial small subunit ribosomal RNA", at positions 524 to 776 of the family's 1533-position model. The record is from RNAcentral.